Molecule: ribosomal RNA, 254 nt
Filed under: uncultured bacterium
Lineage: Bacteria
Description: partial 16S ribosomal RNA
Rfam family: Bacterial small subunit ribosomal RNA
Source: RNAcentral
UACAGAGGGUGCGAGCGUUUAAUCGGAAUUACUGGGCGUAAAGCGCGCGUAGGCGGCUUUGCAAGUCGGGUGUGAAAUCCCCAGGCUCAACCUGGGAACUGCAUUCGAGACUGCAUUGCUAGAGUAUGGGAGAGGGAAGUGGAAUUUCAGGUGUAGCGGUGAAAUGCGUAGAUAUCUGAAGGAACAUCAGUGGCGAAAGCGACUUCCUGGACCAAUACUGACGCUCAUGUGCGAAAGCGUGGGGAGCAAACAGG